UCAAGAAUGACCCUUUCUUGUCAGUGGAAUGUGGGUUGGAAUGAGUAAGAUUGAAUCCAAUUUUUCCUUUAAUUCUGAUAAAAUCAAGCAAACUUUAAACCAAAGAAUUGGUUUAAAGGAUGGAGGUUUAAAGGUUUAAGGUUUACAUGAUGGAGAGAAAUACAUUAGUGCUUUUGUGAAAUCAGGUCAAAAUACAGCAUUGUUGCAAACAAAGAGAGCAAAUAUGGACAAGUUGGCCUCACAUGUCUCCAUGAGAUUGUAAACAUCAGUAACAGGGAGUCAGACAAACAGAGCAAUUGGAACUAUGGAAACAUUACUGUUCCCAAACAAACUCUGUGAAAUUACAAGCCCAGAGAACACCCACGGAGCUCUCAAACAGGGUUCCAAAGAAGACGAGACUACUAACUUCUAAGGAAGCAACAAUAGGAAAGGAAAAACCCAGCUGGGCUGAGCUUGCCCUUCUCAGCUGGCACUAGAAUAAUACUGCUUGAAGAAAACAACGUGAAGUCUGGGAGUCAGAGAGCCACAAUAAAAGCUGUAUUAUAGCAAGGAGUGGGGAAAAGGUAAAAUUAGGUUGGAGCAAGAAGAUUGUGAAAUCUCAUGUUCCACAAUGGUCCGCUGAGCAAGUCAAAAUAGAGUUCGAUCUCCAUGAUUCAAAAUCUCCCAAUGGUGACCACACUGUCUCCGCUGUGAAUCUGGAAUGUUUGGGGAAUCCCAUUCCAUCAGAUGGUCUUCCCUCAAGUGUGUGCUACUCCA
Molecule: long non-coding RNA, 756 nt
Filed under: Canis lupus familiaris (dog)
Lineage: Eukaryota; Metazoa; Chordata; Mammalia; Carnivora; Canidae
Description: lncRNA (ENSCAFG00000038424.3)
Source: RNAcentral